ACAGGACCUGAAUACAAGAUGAGUAUGAUCAUGGCAUCUUUUCUCUCCGCACCUCUGCUGUUGCUGGUUCCUGGGAUCCUGACUGAAAGUCAUGUAGAAUAUAUAUAUUUACUUUACGUCUUUGUAAUGUCAUCUCUAUCACCUAUACACUACAGUAUAGUUGACAUUGUAAAUGACAAUUUAAACAGAGUCUUCCAUUGAGUUGGUGGUAGUCAACAACAUCUCAAACACACCCAAUAAGACCUACAGUACUAAUGUCGCAUUCAGAGGUGUCCUUAUCGGUGCCAUGAGAAGACUGCAGGAGACCACUGCAGGAUUCAAUUUCACCUACACAGAGGACUGCAACUAUGGUCCCUUCCUGGUGAGUGUGAAUAAUGUAGCUGGGAACAAUAAUGAGAACAAUUUCUGGCGAGAUUCCUGUUCAAACUGGGGGUAAUGGUAAACCAACUACCAUUGACCUGAUGUGGGUAUUGGCUGUUACAUCCCUGAACCAAAUGACCGCAUCAUCCUAAAAUUUACUGUGUUCAUCUUGGGCUCGCACUCCGUGAGUGGCAACGGUCAGAAAUUCUGGGAAGCUGACAGAAUUUCACCUAUACAGAGGACCCCAACUAUGGCCCCUUCCUGGUGAAUGUGAAUGGUGUGGCUGGGAACAAUACUGAGAACUUUCUGGGAGAUCCUUGUAUAGACUGGGAGGAAUGGGACCACGAUCAGACCUGAUGUCGGUACUGGUUGUUACAUCCCAGAAUGAAAUGACCACAUCAUCCUGAGAUUUACAAGGUUUACCCGGACAUCAUAGUAAAUACGCUGCAAAGGAAUGUGCUCCUUGUUCUUUCUUGCUGAAGACUAAGAAGAAUGAAGAUUGAAGAUGAGGAUGUAGAAAAUGAAAACACCUCUUUGAAGGCAGUUAAACAGAUGUGGAACUGCUAGAAAUAACAGCGUAACUGACGUUGCCAUGACAAAGACCAAAGCCGGCGGGAGUACCGUUGAGGAUACUGGUGUCUCUCUAUCACAGGUGAGCUCGAUGAGUUGAAACAGGACAAUGCCAAGAUUACAGCAAUCUGUAAGUCAUUGAAAGAGGACAUCAGUGCUGUGCUUGAAUCCAUGAUAACAAUGACGGAUAAAUCAUCUCAAGGGAUAAUCAAGGCGGAAUAAUGGUUGUGGACGGAAUUGCAAAAUCUCCAUGAGACCGGGACAGAGGCUGAGGACAAAGUGAGCGAAAUGAUCUCUGAUAAAUUGAAGAUGGACCACAGGAAGAUUGAGGUGGAGCGUGCCCAUUGGACUGAAAAACCCACCACUGGCCCGGGUGACAAGCCCAGGCCAAUAGUGGUCAAGUUCCUGAGGUUCAAGGACAAGGUAGCUGUUCUGGAGAGAGCCAAGAACUUGAAAGGGAAGUAUAUCAUCCUCAACGAGGACUAUCCUGAAGCUGUGUGCCAGAAGACGAAAGAAUCCCAGCCAUGAAAGCAGCCAGAGCGUGUGGGGACAUUGCUUACAUCCGCUAUGACAGGCUCAUUGUCCACCCUCCCUCCCAGAAGCCUGGAAGGGAUGAGAGAGCAAAGCCUAUGGGUUCGUAGCUUCAACCCUGCAGCACACA
Oncorhynchus gorbuscha (pink salmon) is the source of this 1591-nucleotide long non-coding RNA. RefSeq lists it as uncharacterized. Lineage: Eukaryota; Metazoa; Chordata; Actinopteri; Salmoniformes; Salmonidae. The transcript has 6 exons. The record is from RefSeq and is a predicted model, not a curated record.